AGCCCAUGGUGCGAACAUCUUUUAAGUAAAUCCUUAAAUCUCUCCCGAGCUUCAAACAAUGAUUCACCAUCAAAUUGUGUAAAAGCAAUUAUAUGAUUCCUCAUCUU
RNAcentral lists this small nucleolar RNA (107 nucleotides) under Theobroma cacao (cacao). RNAcentral describes it as "Plant small nucleolar RNA R71". It matches the Rfam family "Plant small nucleolar RNA R71". Rfam says of the family: R71 is a member of the C/D box family of snoRNAs containing the C (UGAUGA) and D (CUGA) box motifs. Multiple nearly identical copies of this snoRNA have been identified in Arabidopsis, and it is thought to function as a 2'-O-ribose methylation guide for 18S ribosomal RNA. Lineage: Eukaryota; Viridiplantae; Streptophyta; Magnoliopsida; Malvales; Malvaceae. The record is from Rfam by way of RNAcentral.